RNAcentral lists this ribosomal RNA (270 nucleotides) under uncultured bacterium. RNAcentral describes it as "partial 16S ribosomal RNA". It matches the Rfam family "Bacterial small subunit ribosomal RNA", at positions 28 to 305 of the family's 1533-position model. The record is from RNAcentral.
AAUGAACGCUGGCGGCGUGCUUUACACAUGCAAGUCGAGCGAGGCGGCCCGCAAGGGCCAGUCGAGCGGCGAACGGGUGAGUAACGCGUGGAUACCUGCCCUGAGGUGGGGAACAACCAGGGGAAACUCUGGCUGAUACCGCAUGAUACCGAGAGGUCAAAGGGGGCUCGCAAGGGCUCUCGCCACAGGAGGGGUCCGCGUCCGAUUAGCUAGUUGGUAGGGUAAUGGCCUACCAAGGCGACGAUCGGUAGCCGGCCUGAGAGGGUGAUC